RNAcentral lists this ribosomal RNA (303 nucleotides) under Crustacea environmental sample. RNAcentral's name for it is "SSU rRNA". It matches the Rfam family "Eukaryotic small subunit ribosomal RNA", at positions 1140 to 1451 of the family's 1831-position model. The record is from RNAcentral. Lineage: Eukaryota; Metazoa; Arthropoda.
AAACUUAAAGGAAUUGACGGAAGGGCACCACCAGGAGUGGAGCCUGCGGCUUAAUUUGACUCAACACGGGAAACCUCACCCGGCCCGGACACCGCGAGGAUUGACAGACUGAGGGCUCUUUCUCGAUUCGGUGGGUGGUGGUGCAUGGCCGUUCUUAGUUGGUGGAGCGAUCUGUCUGGUUAAUUCCGAUAACGAACGAGACCCCAUCCUGCUAACUAGCCCUCGGGUCCGGCUUCUGGCGGGCCCGACGGAAUGACUCGCUUCUUAGAGGGACUCGCGGCGCCUAGCCGCACGAAGGGGGGC